AAAAACCCUAUGAAAAAGAAAAGUAACUAAAUGCAUUUUUAUUUUUAUAUAGAGAGUUGGUGUGUGGUGCAAACCAAUAGAAUGCUUUGGCGAAUCCACUUCGGAGGGUGCUGGGAAGGAAAUAUCAUAACCAGUUUACGGGUUGAACCGUUAUAGCUUUAGAGAUAACCUUUAUUAGAUAAGGUUAAUUAAGGGUGGUACCGUGAGAGCUCUCGCCCCUGUU
RNAcentral lists this non-coding RNA (223 nucleotides) under Desulfobacter sp. Its description in RNAcentral is "Desulfitibacter sp. T-box sequence". It matches the Rfam family "T-box leader". Rfam says of the family: Uncharged tRNA acts as the effector for transcription antitermination of genes in the T-box leader family. T-boxes are found upstream of many aminoacyl-tRNA synthetase genes and some amino acid biosynthetic genes usually in Gram-positive bacteria. The anticodon of a specific tRNA base pairs to a specifier sequence within the T-box motif, and the NCCA acceptor tail of the tRNA base pairs to a conserved bulge in the T-box antiterminator hairpin. The record is from RNAcentral. Lineage: Bacteria; Pseudomonadati; Thermodesulfobacteriota; Desulfobacteria; Desulfobacterales; Desulfobacteraceae.